RNAcentral lists this ribosomal RNA (465 nucleotides) under uncultured bacterium. RNAcentral's name for it is "partial 16S ribosomal RNA". It matches the Rfam family "Bacterial small subunit ribosomal RNA", at positions 28 to 507 of the family's 1533-position model. The record is from RNAcentral.
GACGAACGCUGGCGGCGUGCUUAACACAUGCAAGUCGUACGGUAAGGCCCUUUCGGGGGUACACGAGUGGCGAACGGGUGAGUAACACGUGAGUAACCUGCCCACCACUUUGGGAUAACGCUAGGAAACUGGUGCUAAUACUGGAUAUGUGCUACUGCUGCAUGGUGGGGGUUGGAAAGCUCCGGGGGUUGUGGAUGGACUCGCGGGCUAUCAGCUUGUUGGUGGGGUAGUGGUCUACCAAGGCGGCGACGGGUAGCCGGCCUGAGAGGGUGACCGGCCACAUUGGGGCUGAGAUACGGCCCAGACUCCCACGGGAGGCAGCAGGGGGGAAUAUUGCACAAUGGGCGCAAGCCUGAUGCAGCAACGCCGCGUGCGGGAUGAAGGCCUUCGGGUUGGAAACCGCUUUCAGCAGGGACGAAGCUUUUUGUGACGGUACCUGCAGAAGAAGCACCGGCUAACUACGUG